ACUCAAAGGAAUUGACGGGGGCCCGCACAAGCGGCGGAGCAUGUGGAUUAAUUCGAUGCAACGCGAAGAACCUUACCUGGGCUUGACAUGCGCCAGACAUCCCCAGAGAUGGGGCUUCCCUUGUGGUUGGUGUACAGGUGGUGCAUGGCUGUCGUCAGCUCGUGUCGUGAGAUGUUGGGUUAAGUCCCGCAACGAGCGCAACCCUUAUCCUACGUUGCCAGCGCGUUAUGGCGGGGACUCGUGGGAGACUGCCGGGGUCAACUCGGAGGAAGGUGGGGAUGACGUCAAGUCAUCAUGCCCCUUAUGUCCAGGGCUUCACACAUGCUACAAUGGCUGGUACAGAGGGCUGCGAUACCGCGAGGUGGAGCGAAUCCCUUAAAGCCGGUCUCAGUUCGGAUCGCAGUCUGCAACUCGACUGCGUGAAGUCGGAGUCGCUAGUAAUCGCAGAUCAGCAACGCUGCGGUGAAUACGUUCCCGGGCCUUGUACACACCGCCCGU
Molecule: ribosomal RNA, 498 nt
Filed under: uncultured bacterium
Lineage: Bacteria
Description: partial 16S ribosomal RNA
Rfam family: Bacterial small subunit ribosomal RNA
Source: RNAcentral